AGCGAACGCUGGCGGCAGGCUUAACACAUGCAAGUCGAGCGGGCACUUUCGGGUGUCAGCGGCGGACGGGUGCGUAACGCGUGGGAACGUGCCCUCUGGUUCGGAAUAACUCAGGGAAACUUGAGCUAAUACCGGAUACGCCCUUUUGGGGAAAGGCUUGCUGCCGGAGGAUCGGCCCGCGUCUGAUUAGCUAGUUGGUGAGGUAACGGCUCACCAAGGCGACGAUCAGUAGCUGGUCUGAGAGGAUGAUCAGCCACACUGGGACUGAGACACGGCCCAGACUCCUACGGGAGGCAGCAGUGGGGAAUAUUGGACAAUGGGCGCAAGCCUGAUCCAGCCAUGCCGCGUGAGUGAUGAAAGCCUUAGGGUUGUAAAGCUCUUUUAUCCGGGACGAUAAUGACGGUACCGGAGGAAUAAGCCCCGGCUAACUUCGUG
RNAcentral lists this ribosomal RNA (435 nucleotides) under uncultured bacterium. Its description in RNAcentral is "partial 16S ribosomal RNA". It matches the Rfam family "Bacterial small subunit ribosomal RNA", at positions 29 to 507 of the family's 1533-position model. The record is from RNAcentral.